GUCUUGUAAAUCACGAAAAGUUUAAUCCUAAACGUUAAACCCUUUGCGACUCGCUCUUGUUACUCUUUCAGUUUCCUCCCUCGCCGUCUCAGUCCUCGGCAAACCAAGCAAUCGCAAACAAAGCACCACUCACAUUUUCUGGGUCACUUUGCUCAGCGGGAGAAUUCUUUUCUUUGGUUGAAGACAUGGUGGGUUGGCAGAGGCAUGUACAGUCCCUAAUCCGUCAUGUUGGCAAAAGAGUGGAGAACCAUGGUUACACGUCUGCUGCAAACUUUUCUUCUUCUUCUCAUUUUCUAAAACUCCAGACACCAUCUUACCAAACCAUCUCAAGGCCCCUUCAUCAGUACUUUCAACACUUGGGAAUUUCCAGUUCAAGGAACUUGCUUGCAGAUUCAUUUGAUGGAGCACCUCAUCAAUCUUCAGUCACUCCUCUCUCAGCUUCAAGUGGUGAAAAAAUUGAAGAACAAAACCAGAAAUCAUCUUCUAGACCUUCACAAGUUCAAUUUGUUUUAAAGGGCAUGAAUCAGAGCCCUAAUAAGGUCAACUUGGUUGCUAAACUGGUUUGUGGUAUGCGUGUUGAAGAUGCAUUACUGCAACUGCAAGUGACAGACAAGCAAGCUGCAAAAACUGUAUAUCAGGCUCUUCACUCAGCCCGGGCAGAUGCAACUUAUAAUCAUGGGUUGGAUCCAGAACGUCUUCUAGUUGCUGGGGCCUUCGUUGGAAAGGGAUUCUUGGGAUUCCGCAAGAACAGACUUUACUACCAUGGUAAAAGCAAUGACGGAACUAAAGUGAGACCAAAUUACCAACUAACGGUGACGCUAAGGGAGAUUUAUCCGGAAGAGGAGGAGGAGAUAGCCAAACAGAGAGCUGACAAUUUUCUCUAUAUCAAGAAACGCCUCAGGCUCACGAAGCAGGAAAAUAAAUUUGUUUCUCACCACCUUAUUGGCAAUCACAUAGGCAAAGGAAGUACCAGUCAACAAAGUGGUAUGGCUUCGUGAGCAAUCUUCCUUCCCAUGCAUUAACAUUUUGAAAGAGUUUGGAGACAUUCGAGAGCUCCUCCUUUGUCCUUGCAAUUCAAUAAAAUGUCGUGUAGAAGUGUGAAAAACCGAAGUGUCAAGAGUAGGAUCAAGCCUUUGUCUCAGUUCCUGGUCGUGGCUGCAUCCCGCGUGUUGUUUUAAAUACGUCGAGCGCUUAUGCUAAAAGCGAGAUCAAGUGCUUCGUACAAUAGUGAUUUCAACCUGCCCUUCAGAACUCUCAGAUCGUUACCUCAUGAUUGGGUUGAUCAAGUAGUAUUUGCUCAAAUUAACGAUCCUUGUAAUUCCUUUUCGACUUUUUGAUGGUUUCCUUUUAGCCUUGCAUAAUUGUAGGCUUGUUUUAUAAACAUCUCACAUAUUGUUGAUACAUCUCACAUACUUUACCCUAAUACCGUUGAUGGUUUCCUUUUA
This is an RNA transcript of Pyrus x bretschneideri (Chinese white pear), 1445 nucleotides long. It is a transcript of the gene named 50S ribosomal protein L22, with no coding region annotated. NCBI's taxonomy places the organism in Eukaryota, Viridiplantae, Streptophyta, Magnoliopsida, Rosales, Rosaceae. The transcript is spliced from 7 exons. The record is from RefSeq and is a predicted model, not a curated record.